UGCGGCUGGUGCUGGGGCGCAGCGCGCUGCCCAGGCUGUAGGUGCGGGUGGACGUAGUCACGUAGCUCCGGCUGGAGCUCGGCCGGCUCGCGGUGCCCGGGCCGCCGAACAUCCUGCGGUAGGAGGACGAGGACACGGACCUGGUGGACAUGGCUGCGGAGGGUGGCGAUGGCCUGGGCGGCGGCGGUGGCGCGGACUGGCUCCCGGAGAAGAGGCGAACGAGGGCGCUCUCCUGGAAUGGGCACUGGUCCUCUUCAUCAUCUCAGGGAUAGAUUUUAAAAUAGAGCAUGCUUAAUAUACUUCAGAUGUCUGCAAGGGGAACAGCAGCAAAUACCACAGUCCCAUGACAGCAAAGCUCCCUUUGGAUGACAUAGAUUUAUUACUUAGUAGUAUAUUAUGUAUUGGCUGUCCCACAUUUUGAAAUUUAAUGGACUCGUGGUGAUCAGAAUAAAAGAAGCCUUCGAUGUGAGGCCCAGGCAUUGAGUACCAUGUGUGCGAUUCACAAGCCUUGGCAUCUGAACAAUUUUUUGGAAGGAUCCAUCAGGACAACACGUCGGGGGUGUACUAGUGAAGUGAUUUUCCAAAUGUGCUACUCAGACCUGUAGCAUCAGCAUCACCGGAUAAUUUGUUAGAAAUUCCAACUGUUAGGCCCCACUUUAGACCAACUGAAUGUGAAACUCUGGGAGUACGUGGGGCCCAGCAAUUUGUGUUUUUACAAGACUUACCAGGUGAUUCUGAGAACCACUGUGCUAGUGAAUUGUUCCUGUCUGUGGCCACGUAGAAUAAGAAAACCAUAGGGUUGGAAAAUGGGGAAACUGGUGAGUGUUCGCUUAUGAGGAAAUGAAGAAUAGAUAGAAAAGAAUUAGUUAACUUUUGGAAUUCAAAAGAGAAGCAGUUUGUAAAAGCCAGGAAUUUGAUUUGAAGGACUAAUUGCUUGCAGAAUCUUUGCUUUCUCAGAGAGGGGCAAUCCAGAUCACUAGGUUACCGUGAAAUAUGUUGGUAUGGCUCUAAAAUUCUAGAAUAAUCUCUCUAGUGAGAAAAGGCAUACCUUUCCAUAUUAGGACAAAACUUCAAAUCAGGUUUGUAAAAUCCUAUAAGAUUAUUGUAUCCCAUUGCCAUGGCCAACUUGUUUGUCUCUGGAGAUCCCAGUUUCUACAUCUGAAAACCAUAUGCAUUCCUGCUCACCAGGAAUUAUCUCGCUGAAUGAAGCAAGAGAUUCAGGAUGUGUAAGAGAAUUUAUGAAGCAUUUGGAUUACCAAGAAAUGUGAAGUAUAAAGAUCAAGAAUGAUUAUUACAAACACUGAUGGUAAAGAGGUGUUUCGAAGUCGAUGCAAAAAAUGAGUUGCUUAUUUCAGUCUCUCUUUGAUAUAUCUGCCUUUUUAGUGCUGACUCUAUCAUGUAUUCACUAUUUGAUUUUCAGUGAAUCACAUUUUUUAAAGCUUUUAAUCUGUUUCCUCAAAAAAUAUAUUUUUUAAAAAUAUUUACUCAGGAUUGUUGUGAGAAUAAAAUUGAUUCGAUUGAUAUUUCAAAAAAGAAAUAUAUUUUUAAAAAAUAAAGCAAUACCAUUUUUGGAUAUGCU
This 1579-nucleotide long non-coding RNA is filed under the name Homo sapiens (human). Its description in RNAcentral is "long non-coding RNA NONHSAT156727.1". Lineage: Eukaryota; Metazoa; Chordata; Mammalia; Primates; Hominidae. The record is from RNAcentral.